UACUCACUCACUCCCCUGCUGCUUUGCGUUAGCCAUCCGGAGUGACUUCCAUUCCGGUCUCACAGAAGUCAACCAACCCCUUCCAGGGGCUGGAUCUGGCCGGCGAGCGGCAGGGACAGCAGAGCUGCGCGUCCCUCCUGCUUCAGGCCAAGAGGAGGCGGCGGAUCUGGGGCGGGCGGGCCUUCCUUGCUGUCUACGACAGGCUUGUUCCCGACCCCCAGUUUGCAAGCAUGGAGCUGGCGACGGGGGCGAUGAGGAGCCUGCUGCCCAAGCUGCUUCAGCUGCUCGAGAAAGAGUACGGCCUGCAAACGGGCGUGAGGGAGAAGAUCAAGUCUCUCACGGGAGCUCGAUGUCGUGCACGCCGUCCUCCGCAAGAUCGGCGAUGUGCCAUCGGAGCAGGUCGAUGAGCUGGUCAAGCUUUGGGCGCGCGAUGUCAGGGAGGCAUCCUACGAAAUGGAGGACAUCGUCGACACAUUCUUGGUGCACGACGAUGGCCCUGACCCCACCGAUCCACACAUGCUCCUGCGCCUCCGGAAGAAGUUAGGCAAGCUGUUCAAGAAGAGCAAGGCUCGCCGUAAGAUCUCUAACCUGAUCCAAGACAUUAACAAGAAGUUCGAGCAGGUGAAAGCAAGGCAUGUCAAGUACACAGUCGACAGCGUUGUCCUCAAGUCUCUAGCGGCAACGACCAUCGAUCCUCGUCUCCAGAAUCUGUACAAAAGGGCAACAGAGCUUGUUGGCAUUGACGGGCCAAGGGACGAUCUCAUAAACAAGCUAUCCCUGGGGGGUGAUGUUGAUGUGUCCGACAAGAAGAUGAAAGUCAUCUCUGUCGUUGGAUUUGGAGGACUCGGCAAGACCACUCUUGCCAAAGCUGUCUAUGACCACUUCAAACCGCAUUUCAAGUGCAGGGCUUCUGUUCCAGUCGACCAGAAUCCUGACAUGAAUAAAGCAUUCGAUGACCAGGUUGAACCGCAUUUCGAAUGCGGAGCUUUUGUUCCAGUGGGUCGGAAUCCUGACAUGAAGAAAGUCUUUAGAGACAUUCUCAUUGAUCUUGACAAGGAAAAGUACACGAAUCCGAAUAUGAUGGUGUUGGAUGAAAAGCAGCUCAUGGACGAACUCAAGGAAUUCGUCAAGGAGAAGAGGUGUUUCAUUGUUAUUGAUGAUAUAUGGGACAAGGAGUCAUGGAAAUUAAUCAGAUGUGCUCUGCAAGAAAGUGAUUGUGGAAGUAGACUUGUCAUAACUACUCGUAUUUCUGAAGUUGCCACACAUGCUGGUGAAGCUUACAAAAUUCAGCCACUUUCUCGUGAUAACUCUGAAAAAUUAUUGUAUGCAAGAAUAGUUGAUGGUGAAUGGAAGUAUUUCGAUAAUCCAUCAGCUAAGGCAUGUGAAAAAAUUUUGAAGAAAUGUGGUGGUGUACCAUUAGCUAUCAUUACAAUAGCUAGUUUGUUGGCCAGUAAACCAGGGGAGGACUGGUCUGAGGUCUACAACUCUGUCGGUUUUGGGCAUGAAGACAAUGAUGAUGUAGAUCAUGUGAUAGAGAAAAAUAGUUUGAUAUGGAAGUGGAUAGCUGAAGGUUUCAUCCAUGAGGAACUAGCAGCAGGGUUAGGAUUAUUUGAGCUCGGGGAGAGGUGCUUCAAUGAGUUGAUAAAUAGAAGCAUGAUCCAGCCAGUGGAGACAAAACAUGAAGGGUAUGUAGAUGGUUGCUGCGUUCAUGAUAUGGUUCUUGAUAUGAUCCACUCAUUAUCGAGUGAAGAAAAUUUUGUCACUGUAUUGAAUGGUGAUGAGCGACAGAAACUUCCGGGGAGCAUUGCUCGCAGGUUAGCCCUGCAGCGUGUUCUAGUGCACAAGGAUGGUCAGCUAGCUAAUAUCACUCUGAAGAAUGUGAGAUCCCUUAUUGCCAGUCAGUGCUUCGGUUCAUUAUGCCUACACACUCCGGUUUUACGUGUAUUAGAUGUGAUAAACUGUGCAGAAAGUGAGACGCCUAAUGUUUUGGAAGAUAGGGACAAAACUAUGCCAAGCCAUCUUGGGAGUUUACUUCACCUGAGGUACCUCGGGUUAGUAGAUACAUAUAUCACUAAGCUGCCCAGGGAAGUAAGGUAUCUCAAGUUUCUGCAGACACUGGAUUUAAGGGGAAGUCGCAUAAAGGAGCUGCCAGAGGAGGUGGGACUGCUGACACAACUUGUUUGCCUACGAGCUGAUUGGGAAAUAAUGGUGAAGAUUGGUUUGAUCGGUAAGUUGACCUCAUUGCAAGAGCUUUGGAUAGAGCCUGCUGCUGCUGUUUAUGAUGACGAUGCUGCUUCUGUUGAUGAUGAUGAUGAUGCUGCUGCUGUUGAUGAUACUACGAAGUCUACGAUGAAGUUUGUGAAUGAGCUGGGCCUACUGAGGGAACUAAGGGUGCUCCGGACUUAUUUUGAGGAUUUGAAUGAGAGCAUGGAGAGAGCUUUGUUGGAAUCCCUAAGCAAGCUGCACAAUAUCCGGGACCUGCACAUUGAGGGCCCACCCCUAGUGACAAGGAGAGUGACAAGCAGUGCAAGAUCUGUCUCCUGCCUGCAUCUCCGAUACCUGUGUCUGAAUUGCUUUGUGUUCUCUGGACUGCCAGCAUGGAUUAAAUCAUCGCUUGCUCCGAACCUCUCCUGUCUGGAUGUGGUUGUGCUAAUUGUGAAAGAGCAGGACAUGGAAACCCUUGCGAGGUUGCCAGAGCUCCGCUGCCUUGUGCUGCGUUUGCAUGAGACCGAAUUGGUUAGCAUAAAGAUUCAUACUGAAGAUGUUGGCUACUUUCGGAAGUUGAGAAUCUUAAGGAUACUUGGUACAUCUAUCUGGUUUGAUCUGCACGGCAGCAAGUGCAACAUCACAGACAAUAGAAGCUUAGCAUCUAUUAUCAUGCCAAGUCUUGAAUUCCUCGAGUUUGCUGUCCAUAUGCGGUUCCUGAAAGAUGCAACCCAGCUUGGUUUUGACAAGCUGCUUAGCUUCGAGAAGCUUGGAAGAAGUUCGCUCCAGAAAGUCACCAUAGUACUGAAAUGUGGAGAUGCCCGUCUGUCAGAGGUGGAGGAAGUGGCUGCUGCAUUGAUGAACUCAGCUGCGGUCCAUCCCAAACACCCAACUGUUCAAACCAAAUGGCAAGACGAACAAGCUGUGCUCUCACCCUACCAAGAGGCAUAUAUGCAUGUGAGCAGAACCCCGGAGUUGGUAAAUGAGGCCUGGAAGGCGAACAUUGUUAGCUCUGGCCGUAUUCGAGCACUGCGUAUGCCAGUUACAGAAGCAUCUUCAAGCAAAGUUAUCUGUCUGCUUUAUAGAAAAAGUGGGAAGGGACUUUUAGCUCUCAGCUCAAAUGCUGUUCAUAAGCUGUGGAAAUGGGAGAGCAAUGACAAGAAUCCUGCUGGCAUGUCCACCACAUCUGUCCCACCUCAAGUGUGGCAACCGGAAAGUGACAUUCUAAUGAAUGACACUGCUAAUGGCAACCCUGAAGAAGCAGCUGCCUGCAGUCUACUAUCCAAAAAUGACUGCUAUCUAAUUUCUGCAUCUGGUGGCAAAGUUUCGUUGUUCAACAUGUUAAAUUUCAAGACCAUGACUACUUUCAUAGCACCUCCACCCUCUGCAACUUUCCUCGCAUUCCACCCGCAUGACAAUAACAUCAUAGCUAUUGGAACGGAUGACUCUUCGAUUCUACUCUACAAUAUCCGUGUUGACGAGGUUAAAUGGGUGCUCAAGGGCCAUCAGAAAAAGAUAACUGGACUGGUAUUCUCGCUAUCAAUGAAUGUGCUUGUAUCUUCAGGUGCUGAUUCUCAGCUAUGUGUUUGGAGUAUGGAAGAUUGGGCGAAGAAGAAAUCCAGAUAUAUCCAACCUCCAUCUAAUCAUUCUGGAGCUUUAGUUGGUGAUAUAAUGGUGCAGUUUCACUAUGACCAAAAGCGCCUUUUAGUAGUUCAUGAGAGCCAAUUGGCGAUCUACGAUGAGGAGCUAGAAUGCUUGUGCUCAUGGUUCCCAAGUGAUCCACUCUCUGCUCCAGUUUCGAGUGCAGUAUACUCAUCGGAUGGCUUAUUGAUCUACGCUGGAUUCUGUGAUGGUGCAAUUGGAAUAUUUCAAGUGGAAUCUCUCAUGUUACAGUGCAGGAUUGCACCUUCUGCCUAUAUACCAUCUUCAGUUUCUAGCGGUGGUGAAAUUGUGUAUCCCAUGGUUGUCGCUGCGCAUCCCUGGAAGCCUAACCAGUUUGCAGUCGGCAUGAGCGAUGGUGCAGUUCAUGUGCUGGAGCCGUUGGACACACCCGAUGAUAUCAUCAGCAAUUCAAUUCAGCAGGGGCGUUUUGGUGACAGCGGAUGAUGUGUGGACAGGGUGCUCAAUACGGUUGGCAGGCUGGAUGGCAAUACUUGCUUGGCCUAUGGUGAUAGAUUAUUUUUUUCGCCAGCCGGUUAAGAAAGCAGACCAAAUUUCAUCAAGGGAAGAAGUACUUACUACAAACUAGAAAGCAAACUGGAAAGGUAGCCCGCGUGAAUGCGCGGGCAUGCUUGUUAUUUUGUUUAAAAACAGGUCUACCAAAAUAAGUUUAAAUUAAUGUUAGGUAUUUCCCUUUUUAAUUGAUUGUUCAUUGUUUUUUUAAAAAAAAAAUCUUGAGAAACUCGUAUUGCUCAUAAAUGUAUUUUUUUCCCUAAAUAUACAUAUAUUAGAUAGCGCUUCUUAUACGUAGGACCCUACAAUAUUUUUAAGAAAACUACCUAGUCAAUAUUAGUCUUACAACGUAAUUUAGUAGGAAACUUCUAAUCAUAUUGUUAUAAGAUAUGCUAUUGAUUUUGUAUUGA
Non-coding RNA from Oryza sativa Japonica Group (Japanese rice), 4787 nucleotides. Lineage: Eukaryota; Viridiplantae; Streptophyta; Magnoliopsida; Poales; Poaceae. The record is from RefSeq and is a predicted model, not a curated record.